Molecule: transfer RNA, 75 nt
Filed under: Candidatus Mnemosynella bozhongmuii
Lineage: Archaea; Methanobacteriati; Methanobacteriota; Archaeoglobi; Candidatus Mnemosynellales; Candidatus Mnemosynellaceae
Description: tRNA-Arg
Rfam family: tRNA
About the family: Transfer RNA (tRNA) molecules are approximately 80 nucleotides in length. Their secondary structure includes four short double-helical elements and three loops (D, anti-codon, and T loops).
Source: RNAcentral
GGGCCCGUGGCCUAGUCAGGACAGGGCAACGGCCUUCUAAGCCGUGGGUCGGGGGUUCAAAUCCCCCCGGGUCCG